UUACAUAAUCAAAUCUCAAACGGACCUGAUUCACACCUCCCAAAACAUCUCAUUUCAUUCAUCUGUUUCGUACCCUGUUGGCCUUCUUCCUUACCUUGCCGAUCGGCGCCACCGCGCUACUUGCCUUGCUGUCACCGCCGUUAGACUUUCCGGCGUUGGUUCUCUACUCGCCGCUAGUGCUCAUCGCUUGUCGCCACUAAUCUCCACUCGCCGCCACUGCUCUUCGUUCGUCGUCGCUAGUCUCCACUCGCCUUCGGUGCAAACGCAGUAGAGGAGAAGACGAAGAGAGAGGGAGAGAGAUGCAGCAGAGGAAACCUACAAUUGGAAAUGGGAGGCCAUCCGGAACGGACGGUUCUGAUUUCUCCUAUCGUAUGGUCGUCGACUCAAGGUAUACAAAGGUAGCAAAAGGGAAGUCUCGUCUCUCCUCACUCAUCUUCAUUCAGGUACUCUUCUCUCUCACACCCACAGUCACACAUACACUUAUUUACAUGUGAAUUGAAGUGACCUUGGUGCUUUUGUUUGAAUUAACGGGUACGAUUAUAUGUGCCAAAAUCGUUCUCCAAAUUUAUUUUCCCUCUGAAUCAUUUUUUCCCCUAAUGUGGCGUGCUCUGUUCAUGUUUUGUGAUUUUUGUUGUUUUGUUCGAAAACAUUUCAAUGUAAUUUUUGGAGGAAUUUAAGAAUAACUCUUUGUGCUGGACUAGAUAUGGACUUACACUUCAUUUGGUAUAUGAAUUGAGAAAA
Non-coding RNA from Camellia sinensis, 741 nucleotides. Lineage: Eukaryota; Viridiplantae; Streptophyta; Magnoliopsida; Ericales; Theaceae. The record is from RefSeq and is a predicted model, not a curated record.